RNAcentral lists this long non-coding RNA (201 nucleotides) under Elaeis guineensis (African oil palm). RNAcentral describes it as "long non-coding RNA (EGUI_LNC076659)". Lineage: Eukaryota; Viridiplantae; Streptophyta; Magnoliopsida; Arecales; Arecaceae. The record is from RNAcentral.
CAACUCCAACUGCAGGCAGACUUUGCCCGGACUCCUACGGGACCCAGGUCUCGUCCCCAACUCCGACUGAAAGAAGACUUUGUCCGGACUCCUACGAGAGCCAGACUCCAAGCUCCUCUCGGACGGGUGGUUAGCCACCUCUCUCCGCCAGACACUCCAGCCGAACUCUGACCGACAGGCCUGGACCCCCUGGCAGGCCGC